RNAcentral lists this ribosomal RNA (491 nucleotides) under uncultured bacterium. RNAcentral describes it as "partial 16S ribosomal RNA". It matches the Rfam family "Bacterial small subunit ribosomal RNA", at positions 29 to 506 of the family's 1533-position model. The record is from RNAcentral.
AGUGAACGCUGGCGGUAGGCCUAACACAUGCAAGUCGAACGGCAGCACAGUAAGAUCUUGCUCUUACGGGUGGCGAGUGGCGGACGGGUGAGGAAUACAUCGGAAUCUACUUUUUCGUGGGGGAUAACGUAGGGAAACUUACUCUCAUACCGCAUACUACCUACGGGUGAAAGCAGGGGAUCUUCGUACCUUGCUCGAUUGAAUGCGCCGAUGUCGGAUUAGCUAGUUGGCGGGGUAAAGGCCCACCAAGGCGACGAUCCGUAGCUGGUCUGAGAGGAUGAUCAGCGACACUGGAAAUGAGAAACGGUCCAGACUCCUACGGGAGGCAGCAGUGGGGAAUAUUGGACAAUGGGCGCAAGCAUGAUCCAGCCAUACCGCGUGGGUGAAGAAGGCCUUCGGGUUGUAAAGCCCUUUUGUGGGGAAAGAAAAGCAGCAGGUUAAUACCCCGCUGUUCUGACGGUACCCAAAGAAUAAGCACCGGCUAACUUCGU